CAGGCCUAACACAUGCAAGUCGAGCGGUAACAUUUCUAGCAUGCUAGAAGAUGACGAGCGGCGGACGGGUGAGUAAUACUUAGGAAUCUACCUAGUAGUGGGGGAUAGCUCGGGGAAACUCGAAUUAAUACCGCAUACGUCCUACGGGAGAAAGGGGGCAACUUGUUGCUCUCGCUAUUAGAUGAGCCUAAGUCGGAUUAGCUAGAUGGUGGGGUAAAGGCCUACCAUGGCGACGAUCUGUAGCUGGUCUGAGAGGAUGAUCAGCCACACCGGGACUGAGACACGGCCCGGACUCCUACGGGAGGCAGCAGUGGGGAAUAUUGGACAAUGGGGGAAACCCUGAUCCAGCCAUGCCGCGUGUGUGAAGAAGGCCUUUUGGUUGUAAAGCACUUUAAGCAGUGAAGAAGACUCUUCGGUUAAUACCCGGAGACGAUGAUAUUAGCUGCAGAAUAAGCACCGGCUAACUCUGUGCCAGCAGCCACGGUAAUACAGAGGGUGCAAGCGUUAAUCGGAAUUACUGGGCGUAAAGCGAGCGUAGGUGGCUUGAUAAGUCAGAUGUGAAAUCCCCGGGCUUAACCUGGGAACUGCAUCUGAAACUGUUAGGCUAGAGUAGGUGAGAGGGAAGUAG
This 628-nucleotide ribosomal RNA is filed under the name uncultured Moraxellaceae bacterium. RNAcentral describes it as "bacterial SSU rRNA". It matches the Rfam family "Bacterial small subunit ribosomal RNA", at positions 43 to 664 of the family's 1533-position model. The record is from RNAcentral. Lineage: Bacteria; Pseudomonadati; Pseudomonadota; Gammaproteobacteria; Moraxellales; Moraxellaceae.